UUGAAUUUACAUAUAUCUAAUUCUGAAGGGGGAAUUGGAUGCUGGAAGAAAUAUAUGUUUGAUAAUUAGUGCAAACUGCAACAAGUAGUUUUGAGUUUUUUCUAAUUGGAAGACAACUCCUGACUUGUUGAUAUCCCUAGUUAAAUCUAGCUAAGGUGGGCACAAAAAUCAUGGUUGGCAUCUUAUUGCACCUAACUAAGUAGCUGUUGCCGAGUAUGAGGUGGUCAACUACCUCCUGUGGACGUGGGGAGGGGGGGAAGGUUUGUUCAUAGCCUUAGAAGGCUCAGCUCUCACAACGAUGUUAGUUCCCCACUGUUUUACUUGUGGUAUUACAAUUUCAAACUCUAGCUAAAAUUGCAUAUGUUAUCGUGACCAUGUUUGUCUUUUCCUUUAUGGAUGCAUUUUUACCUUUUCUCAUCUCUCUCUCUCAUACCAUAAUUUAGGCAAAAUUUGGUCAAGGGUCUUUUCAAAUUGAGGUUGUUGCUGUUAUUAUUUUUAACUUCUCUUAGAAGCUACACUUGGCUGUUACGUUGUCAAAAUCUUGGUUUCUAGGGAUGCAUUUAUUGUUGAUGAUCAUGGAAUAGGCAAAAUGAAGUUUUAGCCUCUUCCCUACUCAACAAUAUCCCAUGUCUUUCACCGCAAAUAGAUUUUAACUUCUUUACCCCCUUUUUUUUGUUUUUUGGUUACAGGCAUCUGCCCAAGAUAUUUCAUCG
Molecule: unclassified non-coding RNA, 713 nt
Filed under: Hevea brasiliensis (rubber tree)
Lineage: Eukaryota; Viridiplantae; Streptophyta; Magnoliopsida; Malpighiales; Euphorbiaceae
Source: RNAcentral